RNAcentral lists this unclassified non-coding RNA (484 nucleotides) under Hevea brasiliensis (rubber tree). The record is from RNAcentral. Lineage: Eukaryota; Viridiplantae; Streptophyta; Magnoliopsida; Malpighiales; Euphorbiaceae.
GUUGUAAAAUGUAUUAUACAUACAAUUUAUUUUUCUUCUUUUCUCUCCAAGUCUUUCCUUUCCCUCUAUUUCUGGCUACCUAAACACCUUGGUUAAGCCAUCAGAAUCGUGAGGCUUAACACUCAUGUACUUGAUUUCAUGAGGCUUGUUAUAGACACUAUUUCAGCAACUUAAAUUGAUUGCAUGGGUUGGCUGUGCAAGAAACCAUUAUGUGUUCAUAUGAUUUUACCAUGUCAGAGAACCACCCAAAGCUAUGGCAGAUCUACUGUCAUUUUUAUGUUAUUUAAUUCUAUUAUUUUGGGAAGAUGGUGGGAUUUUAUUUUGGGAACUGUGUAAUAACUGUUUGAGUUCAAUGCUCAGCACCAUUUAAGCUUGAAAAAAAUGAUAGUUGAGAGGAAAGUUUAGCUAUCACUGCUAUAUCUUGCUUUAGUGGUUUCUUCAACCAUGUAGAUGCAUGUUAGGGUAUUUCUCCUCACUGUAAAAC